AGGACGAACGCUGGCGGCGCGCUUAAUACAUGCAAGUCGAGCGAGAACCGGACCUUCGGGUCCGGGGAAAGCGGCGAACGGGUGAGUAACACGUGGGUAAUCUGCCCUCGGUACUGGGAUAGCCCGGGGAAACCCGGAUUAAUACCGGAUAGCCUUUCGAGCUCUCGGGCUCGUUAGAAAAUGGUGGCUUCGCUUCCGACUGA
Molecule: ribosomal RNA, 203 nt
Filed under: uncultured soil bacterium
Lineage: Bacteria
Description: partial 16S ribosomal RNA
Rfam family: Bacterial small subunit ribosomal RNA
Source: RNAcentral